RNAcentral lists this long non-coding RNA (1330 nucleotides) under Triticum aestivum (bread wheat). Its description in RNAcentral is "long non-coding RNA (TAES_LNC025232)". The record is from RNAcentral. Lineage: Eukaryota; Viridiplantae; Streptophyta; Magnoliopsida; Poales; Poaceae.
UUUUUUUUUCUUUUUUCGUGGAUCCGUUUAUUCAAAACAUUUUAUCUCUUAAACCGCGUGUCCAAAUCUCGAACCAUUUUCACCAUUGGAUUCCUCGUGUCGAGAUCUCGAGAUCUUCAAAACUAGAUCCCAUCUUUAUAUCUUUUGAUGGACUUUUUUUCACAAAAAAAUGAACGAAAUAACCUAACCGGGAGCACGUUUUUUUUCCUUUCCUAAAAGAGGCACGGUCACGAAAUCACAACCGUGCCUCUAGCGGAAGAAACAAAAACAAAAAACACGUAUUGUUUUCGUUUUCGAGAGGCAUGAGCACAACCAUGCGUCUCGCGGAAGCAAAACCGUGCCUCUCACGAAAGAAGAAAAAUACAAAAAAUGUUUUUUUCAUUUUUCAAAGGCACGGUCAUGCCUCUCAGGGAAGCAAAACCGUGCCUCUGAUGGUAGGAAAAAAAUAACGAGUUUUUUGGUUUUCGAGAGGCAUGGCUGUGCCUCUCGCGAAAGCAAACCGUGCCUCUUGCGGAAGAAAAGAAAAAGAAAAUGCAUUUCUUCGCGCAUUUUUUUUCAAAAGCUAAGGAAGACUGAUGAAAAACCAACUCGUCGAAAAAACCUGGGAGAAACUAUUUAAAAAGCUGAAAACGCAUGCAAGAAAAAAAAUUCAAAGGAAGCGUCUAGAACGCGACACGUGGCGACGGCGGAGAGUGUGUCAAGUGACGCUAAUGGUUGUGAGGCUCCCGAAGGAGCGCUCGUCAACUAGCUGCUCUUUCUAGAUAUUCUUUAAGACUUCAUCCAUUUAGAAAAGUACAUUUUUCAGUUUGCUGAAAAGUACAACUUGCACCACGGGCAUCACCGUCCAAAGCCACACGGGAAGGAAAACCCUGCCGUGUCUACCGAGUGUUGGGUGUGUCCGCACACUCGGACGAUCUGUGUUGAUUUCUGACAUACCCUCAGUAGUACGACAUCUUCACAAAAAUGGUAUGGUAUAAUGCUGAUGUAGACGCCAAGAUUAUCAUCCCAGAAACUCAGAAAGAGAGGUAUGAUGCUGAUGUAGACACCCAGAUUAUCAUCCCAAAAACUCAGAAAGACAAGGCCACGGUGAGCAAUAAACUUCGGAACUUGUACACAUUCAGAAAGAAGGCAACCAUUGUUCAUGUCCACAUGAACAAUGAAUGACAUCUCCACAGCUAUGGUUACACUGAUAUUAGCACAUUAGCAGUACAACAUUACCAUCCUCCAUCCUAAGGGCAUUCUUAUUGCCACUUGCAACAUUACACGUCAUACUAGAUAGAUGGGAAGGCAAAAAAAGGGGGACAGGGCAAAAACCAGAGCUUCUUCUUUC